CGUUCUAUGGCCGAACUGGUCAAGGCAUCGCCGAUUACACGUAAAGAUGUGGGUUCGAGUCCCACUGGAAUGG
RNAcentral lists this transfer RNA (73 nucleotides) under Operophtera brumata (winter moth). It matches the Rfam family "tRNA". Rfam says of the family: Transfer RNA (tRNA) molecules are approximately 80 nucleotides in length. Their secondary structure includes four short double-helical elements and three loops (D, anti-codon, and T loops). Lineage: Eukaryota; Metazoa; Arthropoda; Insecta; Lepidoptera; Geometridae. The record is from Rfam by way of RNAcentral.